GUCUAAGGCCAUGACACCCUAAACGUGCCUGGUCUCGUCUGAUCUCGGAAGCUAAGCAGGGUCAGGCCUGGUUAGUACUAGGAUGGGAGACUACCUAGGAAGACCAGGUGCUGUAGGCA
Molecule: ribosomal RNA, 119 nt
Filed under: Pteropus alecto (black flying fox)
Lineage: Eukaryota; Metazoa; Chordata; Mammalia; Chiroptera; Pteropodidae
Source: RNAcentral